Long non-coding RNA from Corticium candelabrum, 601 nucleotides. RefSeq lists it as uncharacterized. NCBI's taxonomy places the organism in Eukaryota, Metazoa, Porifera, Homoscleromorpha, Homosclerophorida, Plakinidae. The record is from RefSeq and is a predicted model, not a curated record. The transcript is spliced from 3 exons.
AGAGAGUAGCAGUGCUGCCAAGGACUGAUACGUAUUCACCCAAUUCAAGCCAAGACGGGGACUAUACAAGUACUGGCACCAGUCCCCUCAUCCAUCAAAUAGCGACAGUAGCCGUCGUUCACAAGUCAGCAGUCGCACAACCCGACGACGACAACAAAGCUGCCGCAGAAUUUGAAAACAGCAGUGAAUCAGGAAACGCACAAGUAUACACAGUGAACCAUCCAUCAUCAUGCAGACACGACGUCCGAAGUGUCCAACACUGCAGUACUAGUUGCCGUCAAUGGGAUCGCUGCCACGAGAGCGACAAAGAAGACGAAACGGAGAGAAACAAAGACACAGAAGAGAGAAACGAAGACACAGAAGAGAGAAACGAAGACACAAGAAACGAGACACAAGACAACAUAAGAGCUGAUAGUAAGUCAAAUGUGGACAAAACAGCAGACAACAUUGUGACAAACACGAGAGACGAAUUUGUAGCCGAAAGUACCGAGGGACCUCCUGUGUUGCACAUUCCCUCCGAGUCACGACGAAGACGUCGAUAGCAAACACGACGAACCGGCCGAUAAGCAGGAAAUCGUCGUUCCUGUUGUACAACCGAUUG